AUUUUUUGGUUUCUCUUCGAAUCUAAUAAUGCUUUCGCUUUUUGCUAGAGUUUUCGUGAAGUGGAACUUCCAUGAGUUUCAAUACAUUUUUGAGGCUCUGCCCAUACAGGGCU
Bombina bombina (fire-bellied toad) is the source of this 113-nucleotide small nuclear RNA. RefSeq annotates it as U5 spliceosomal RNA. The record is from RefSeq and is a predicted model, not a curated record. The transcript has a single exon. NCBI's taxonomy places the organism in Eukaryota, Metazoa, Chordata, Amphibia, Anura, Bombinatoridae.